GUUACACUAAGAGCUUCUUGGACACUAUACACUGUAAAGUUAAGAAAAUAUUAAAUAAACCAUUACAAACCAAAAAAGAAAGAGAAAACACCAAUGAAAGAGAAAUAGAAAAAAGAUUACAUAACUGUAUCAUAUCAGACUAGCAAGCUUAACAUUCUAAAAGAAAUCACAAGGAAAACAAAAAAGAAAAUAGCCACGAGUAGACUACCAACACUUUACAACAUGCUAUGAAAUGAAAAAGAUCCAAGAGGACAGCACAAAAGACCAGAAGUGUACACCAUACCAAUCAAUUACCCCACCGAAAAUAGGGAAUAUAGGCAUUACAAUCAGAACUCUCAUGCAGAGGUUAAACAAGCACAAAAAAAAUAUAGAGGCAGGAAGAACAUCGACGGCAUUGGCGGAAGAAGCCUGUAAUAAGAACAUCCAAAUACAGUGGGACCGAGCCAGGAUGGUGGAACCGAUCGCCAAGACGUCGCAAGCAGUAGUGCAAGAGAC
This 495-nucleotide long non-coding RNA is filed under the name Androctonus crassicauda. Lineage: Eukaryota; Metazoa; Arthropoda; Arachnida; Scorpiones; Buthidae. The record is from RNAcentral.